Molecule: microRNA precursor, 61 nt
Filed under: Pristionchus pacificus
Lineage: Eukaryota; Metazoa; Nematoda; Chromadorea; Rhabditida; Neodiplogasteridae
Description: mir-8364 microRNA precursor family
Rfam family: mir-8364 microRNA precursor family
Source: Rfam by way of RNAcentral
UCUUCAUUAUUCACACUCUCUCAACGGCCAGGGAGGCGAGAGAGUGUGCGACAUGAAGAGA